CAACGAAUCUUCCGCAAUGCGCGAAAGCGUGACGGAGCAAUGCCGCGUGCAGGAUGAAGCCCCUCGGGGUGUAAACUGCUGUCAGGGUUCAGCAACACAAUGAGCAGACCCAAAGGAAGGGCCGGCUAACUUCGUGCCAGCAGCCGCGGUAAUACGAAGGGCCCGAGCGUUGCGCGGAAUCAUUGGGCUUAAAGCGUACGUAGGCGGACACUCAGGCACCUUGUGAAAUCCCUCGGCUCAACCGAGGAAUUGCUUGGUGAACCGUUUGUCUUGAGGCAAGUAGGGGCUGUCGGAACGAUAGGUGGAGCGGUGAAAUGCGUUGAUAUCUAUCGGAACGCCAAAGGUGAAGACAGGCAGCUGGGCUUGUUCUGACGCUGAGGUACGAAAGCGUGGGGAGCGAACGGGAUUAGAUACCCCCGUAGUCC
RNAcentral lists this ribosomal RNA (425 nucleotides) under uncultured prokaryote. RNAcentral's name for it is "bacterial SSU rRNA". It matches the Rfam family "Bacterial small subunit ribosomal RNA", at positions 355 to 796 of the family's 1533-position model. The record is from RNAcentral.